This is a long non-coding RNA of Equus asinus (donkey), 2196 nucleotides long. NCBI's taxonomy places the organism in Eukaryota, Metazoa, Chordata, Mammalia, Perissodactyla, Equidae. The record is from Ensembl.
GAGGGUUUCGCGAGUUCAGAUCCUGGGCACGGACAUGGCACCGCUCGUCAGGCCACGUUGAGGUGGCAUCCCACAUGCCACAACUAGAAGGACCUGCAACUAAGAUAUACAACUAUGUACCGGGGGGAUUUGGGGAGAUAAAUCAAAAGAAAAAAAAAAGAUUGGCAACGGUUGUUAGCUCAGGUGCCAAUCUUUAAAAAAAAAGAAAGAAAGGCCUGCUUGCAAGGUUGGCCCAUGGCUAAAUCUGGGAACUACUAUUUCACGGGUAUUCCCACCCUUCAGGGCGAGGAGGAAAGGGGAAGAGUGCACCCCUCAUGGGAGGGAGAGAUCAUAAGGAAGCCUGCACAUGGAUCCCACCAGACUCCACCUGUGUCUUUUCCCUUUCUGGUCCAGCUGUGUAGCCUCGCUACAUCACUAUAAAUCAUCUUAGCUGUGACUACAACUACAUGCAAGUGCUGUGAGACCAUAACUGCUCCUGGAAGCUUUCCCCUCUUUCUGAAGAAAAAUUCUUGUGCUGCCUUCACAAGCUGCUUGGAGCCACUUCAGAUUCAGACGAACUGCGGAGCCCACAUCACAUGUGACAGUGCAACUAUGAGACAGCAGGGGUGGACCAGCUCCCACACAGUGCCCACAGAACACCUCCACAUGCCAUUCACACUCAGCAGGCCGUGAACUCCUGCCGCUGAGAGAACUGUUUGGAACUGACCCCCUCAGGUAGUCCCUCUGAAAGCAAGGACUGAACUGAAUUGCUUGGACCAGACUGAGAACCCUGGAGCAGGAGGAACCAUGGUGGGAAGCCACGCUGGGGGCCCUGUUAGCCUGUACUGCCUGACCAAUGCACGUCCUGCUUGGGGUGCCUGAACAUUGUAAACAGUUUGUUUGCAGGGGACAUGUGUGCCCUUCUGUGCCCUCUGGGAUUGUACUUCUUGGGUGUGUGCCCUGACCGUCAUGACACUGCCUCAGCCCUGGAAGGCUUUGGGCCAGCUUCAUCCUGCUGGCCAGAGCUAUGCUGGGCCUGAAUUGAUGCCUCAGGCUGGGUUUUAAAAAAGGUUCAUAGAGAAACUUAUGGAGGAAGCCACCUGGCUUUCUAAGACAGAUCUUUGUGGCUAAUGGGAUGUAUUUUAACUGGCUAAGUCCAGGACCCCUACAGAGCAUAAUUGAGAUCAGUACUGCAGGUUGGCCUCACCCUGCUGUGUGGGGUCCUACUGAUAAUAAUUCUGUAAAGACAGCUUGGCCAAGGGCUGAGGGAGUGGAUUAUGCAGACAAGUUAACAUAGCAAGAGUGAAACUGCUAUCCAUAGAAUGGCCUGCAUGCCAGGUUAACCCUUGACUGACAUCUGAGAACUUUGAUUUGGGGAGUGUUCCUGCCCUUCCCUAAUUCAUAAGAGUGACUCAUUGUAGCUAGACUGUUUGUGCAAACAACGGGGUUUAUUUGUUGAACACCUGCUUUCUGUGUGUUUGGAAUUUUGGUACCUGCCAGGUAAAGGGUCCUAUGUGACCAGCCUCCAAUAAAAACCCGGAACUCUGAGUCCCAAAGGGCUUCCCUGGGCAGAAAUAUGGCACACAUGUUGCUGAAUUUUCAUUGCAAGGGAAAAGUGUGCUCUGUGUGACACUUCAUGGGAGGGAGAAAGAAAAAGAAAGCCUGCACAUGGAUUCCUCCAGACUCCACCUGUGUCUCUUCUCCUUAUGAUCUGGUUAUAUAUCCUUACUACAUCUUGGUAAUAAGUCUUAGCCCUGAACACAACUAUGUGCUGAAUCCCAUGAGAUCUUCUAGCAAAUCUCUGAAUAGAGUGGUGAUCUUAGGGGUCCCUCAUCACAGUCACCAAUGGAAAUCUCAGAUAUUUUCUUAUCACAUUAUAGAUAUUUGGAAAUUUCAAUUAUAUUGAUCACUGCUUUGAUAUUAAGGUAGAUAUGAGACCUGCCACUAGUUUGUUAUUUAAAGUGUUGAUAAAGAAGCCCACAUACUAUACAUUUUAAAAUAUUUUUAAAAUUGAACAUCUUUAAUAUAUUUUGACAUAAUUGAUUUCCUUUGUAAUCCUAAGUAUUUUACUUGCUGCAUUAUUUUGAGAGCUUCAUUCUGAGAAGAUAUCCAUAGGAUUCACCAGACUGCUGAAGGGGUCUGCACAAAAGACAGUUUGACUCCCUGCAGUGGGUUAUUACCCUGGACUAGAUGUAUAAUCACUAACAGGCAAUUUAU